Molecule: ribosomal RNA, 453 nt
Filed under: uncultured bacterium
Lineage: Bacteria
Description: bacterial SSU rRNA
Rfam family: Bacterial small subunit ribosomal RNA
Source: RNAcentral
UACGGGAGGCAGCAGUGGGGAAUAUUGCACAAUGGGCGCAAGCCUGAUGCAGCCAUGCCGCGUGUAUGAAAAAGGCCUUCGGGUUGUAAAGUACUUUCAGUCGUGAGGAAGGUGUUAAGGUUAAUAACCUUAGCAAUUGACGUUAGCGACAGAAGAAGCACCGGCUAACUCCGUGCCAGCAGCCGCGGUAAUACGGAGGGUGCGAGCGUUAAUCGGAAUUACUGGGCGUAAAGGGCACGCAGGCGGUUAAUUAAGUUGGAUGUGAAAUCCCCGGGCUUAACCUGGGAAUGGCAUUCAAGACUGGUUAGCUAGAGUCUUGUAGAGGGGGUAGAAUUCCAUGUGUAGCGGUGAAAUGCGUAGAGAUGUGGAGGAAUACCGGUGGCGAAGGCGGCCCCUGGACAAGACUGACGCUCAUGUGCGAAAGCGUGGGGAGCGAAACAGGGAUUAGAUACC